CCUAGGGCUGUGGACUGAAGGGUGACUGGUUCCACAGUGGUCUCCAUGGGAACAGUUGUUUCUGGAGUCUUCCAAGGAGAAAUUCUCACAGUGGACCUGAUCUCUGGGCUGAUGCUGGGUUUCUUGGAGUUCAUGAUUUUGAGAGCUGUAGACAUUUCUGGGCUUCCUGGGGAUGUGCCUGUGAUUAGAAACCCUUCCUGUCAGCAUAGAUAUACCUUGAGUGCCAGAAAACACCCUGGGUAUGCAGUCUGGCCAAAACAGAGAAAUGAACAAGUACAGAUGAUCAAGCUGGAAUCGAGAGGUAGGUGGGAGAUGCCAAACCCAGACUGGGAGGGGGCAGGGAAUCAGGGAAGCCUUCCUGGAGGGGUGACACAUGCAUCAAGAUGGAAAGAUAGGCUGGAGUCCUCCAGACCAGGGGAGGUGGAGCGAAG
Molecule: long non-coding RNA, 431 nt
Filed under: Rhinopithecus bieti (black snub-nosed monkey)
Lineage: Eukaryota; Metazoa; Chordata; Mammalia; Primates; Cercopithecidae
Description: lncRNA (ENSRBIG00000046376.1)
Source: RNAcentral